RNAcentral lists this transfer RNA (64 nucleotides) under Staphylinoidea sp. 14 KM-2017. RNAcentral describes it as "tRNA-Pro". The record is from RNAcentral. Lineage: Eukaryota; Metazoa; Arthropoda; Insecta; Coleoptera.
CAGAAAAUAGUUUAAUUUAAAAUAUUAAUUUUGGAGAUUAAAGUUGGAAGGGUUUCUUUUCUGA